UUGUUCCUACGGGGCGCAGCAGUGGGGGAUAUUGCACAAUGGGGGGAACCCUGAUGCAGCGACGCCGCGUGGGUGAAGAAGCGCCUCGGCGCGUAAAGCCCUGUCAGCAGGGAAGAAAAUGACGGUACCUGAAGAAGAAGCCCCGGCUAACUACGUGCCAGCAGCCGCGGUAAUACGUAGGGGGCAAGCGUUAUCCGGAUUUACUGGGUGUAAAGGGAGCGUAGACGGCAAGGCAAGCCAGAAGUGAAAGGGCAGGGCUCAACCCUGUACAUGCUUUUGGAACUGUGGUGCUAGAGUGCAGGAGG
This 305-nucleotide ribosomal RNA is filed under the name uncultured bacterium. RNAcentral describes it as "bacterial SSU rRNA". It matches the Rfam family "Bacterial small subunit ribosomal RNA", at positions 333 to 655 of the family's 1533-position model. The record is from RNAcentral.